UACGAAGGGGGCUAGCGUUGCUCGGAAUUACUGGGCGUAAAGCGUGCGUAGGUGGUUGUUUAAGUCUGUUGUGAAAGCCCUGGGCUCAACCUGGGAACUGCAGUGGAAACUGGACGACUAGAGUGUGGUAGAGGGUAGCGGAAUUCCUGGUGUAGCAGUGAAAUGCGUAGAGAUCAGGAGGAACAUCCAUGGCGAAGGCAGCUACCUGGACCAACACUGACACUGAGGCACGAAAGCGUGGGGAGCAAACAGG
RNAcentral lists this ribosomal RNA (253 nucleotides) under uncultured bacterium. RNAcentral's name for it is "partial 16S ribosomal RNA". It matches the Rfam family "Bacterial small subunit ribosomal RNA", at positions 524 to 776 of the family's 1533-position model. The record is from RNAcentral.